Long non-coding RNA from Daphnia pulex (common water flea), 2181 nucleotides. RefSeq lists it as uncharacterized. The record is from RefSeq and is a predicted model, not a curated record. The transcript is spliced from 4 exons. Lineage: Eukaryota; Metazoa; Arthropoda; Branchiopoda; Diplostraca; Daphniidae.
UUCUGAAAUUAAAACUAACUUGUAAGUUUCGAUAGUUGAUUUUUAAAAGGAAUUGUCGAAUAACAACUUCGUAUGUCGCAUCUUGACUGGUAUUGCGCCACAUUCCCGGAGCGACGCCACCCAAACGAAGGACCUCAUUAAUAAAAGCUUCUGUGUAAGGGUAAUUCAAAGAAAACGAAUUACGUUGGCGUCGAGUCCCGACCGAAGGCGUUGAUAAUUUCCUGUCGAACACGUUCCUGGCCUUGAGGAUACUUGGCCAAACACAGGAGUAUCCAGCGAAUGGUUGUGAUGGUCGUCUCACCGCCGGCGAUAAACAAAUCGGAGACCAACCAAAGGAGUUGCGUCUCUGUAUAUACGAGAAUUCACAACCCUGAAAAAUGUUGCCGAUAACCAAACGUGACUUAAGUGGAUGUUGUUGUCUCACCGGUAAAGUGAGUCGACGUUCCGCUGCUUUUUAAUUCCUGCAUUUUAACCAGGUAGUCGUACAUCAUGGACUCUUCCACUUCCGAGCUUGAAGUUUCCUCUCUGUACUUCCUGAACUUGGCGAUGAGUUGUUUAAAGUAAACCAAUCUCGUCGAGACGAUUUGCCACAAGCGCACAAAGUUGUGCCACAGUAAAUGCCAAAGACUGCAUCAGAAUUAUUUUUUAAAAUGUUUGAUUUGUUAUGCACUAUUAAAUUAUAUUCAAAUUUGAAUUUACGUGAGUAUGAUGACGUAGUUAUGGGGUCCGGUGAGCUCGACAGCCUGCAAAUUGGUUUCAAGAUUUUUAAUGACUUUUUGCAGGAAAGGAUCGCCCCAUUUGAAUUUAUCGCCGCUGAUCACUGUCCAAAUAAUGUUAUAAACUGCCGUCGCAAUGUUCGGAUGCGGAUCGUGAUUUUCUCCGUUCGUUUUCUAUAAAUGAACUCAUGAAAUUGAAUUUCGCUUUCAGCAUUGAUCUAUGAAGACUUACACCAAUUUGAUGUAGGUAUUCAUCAACCACAUAUUGAAUUCUCUGCUCCAUUGAUUGUUUCCCAAAUCCAUACUUGCGAAAUUCGUGAGUCAGAAAUGUUCGAUGUUCCUUCCACGAUGGUCCGUCAUUGAACACGAUUCCUGGAAAAUCGAAAUACGCCAAUCCCGGCGGCCGUUCGGUGAAUUUGUCCGCCUGAUGGACACACAAACGUUGAGCAACCCUUGCGUCUGAAAUCACGACGACUCGUUGUCGGAAAAACCGCAAGUAGCAAAUCGGUCCCGUCUGAAAACGAAACGUCAUUGUUUGGUCAGCAAAUAGUCUAAGAGUUAUGUUAUCACUUCGCACAAUCAAUAUUUUGAUAAAGAAAUAACUUGUAUAUUGCCUGAAAAGCCCACUGAGAGAACUUGACAAAAGCCGGCUCGCCUUGAAUAAACGUCGAGUGAAUUAAUUCCAUCAAAUUGCCAAAGAUGAGAUUUUGCUUGGGACCAGGAGGUAAGCGAUAAGUUUUCCGAUUUUGACGCCAAUAGAAAUAAAUAAUCGUGACUAAAAAGCCAACCGCCGUCGUUGUGCCAAAGAUAUCCGCCAUUGUGGAGCGAUGAUGCGGUAAUUUUUCGCAAGAUGAAUGUGCUGAAACGCGGGAGGAUAUCUAAAAAGAGCUUGAAACUGAGCAAGGUCACAGCACGUUAUGUCAGAGGAAAGCCGAGUUGCAAGGCGUUCAACUUUCACGAUAACCUUCCUUCACCAACCGUACGAGUUUUUACUGAGACAUUCAAUUCCCUGGAGGUUCUUCAUGACGGAGCGAAAUUUAAUGGUGUCGAUGUCCUAAUAACGUCUGGUUCGGAAUAGUAGAAUUCUUAUCGGCGGCCAUCGUUGUACGCUAUCUAGAGUAAUUUUUAAAUGUAAUGCAUUUUAAAAUAUUUUACCCAGUGGUUCUAACUUUUCUUUCAACCGAUAUCGGAAUAUUGUUGCAAAAAGCGCAAUUUUUCGUAAUUAUUCAUUAAUUAAUGUUCUAAUUACGUAUGCGUCAUUAUAUUAUUUUCCACUGGCACUGGCGCAUGGUAAUAAUAACAAAAUUAAUUUGAAAACUUCGAAAUGCCUUAUCUUCGGGAUUUUUAUUUAAAUUACUUUGACUUUAUAUUAGUUUACAUACGACUGGGGUGUUGGAGGCAUCAUUUAUUCAUUUUACCUGAAUACACUUUCGGUCUUUUAUUUAAAAAUCUUGAUCGACCCAGA